Molecule: ribosomal RNA, 460 nt
Filed under: uncultured bacterium
Lineage: Bacteria
Description: partial 16S ribosomal RNA
Rfam family: Bacterial small subunit ribosomal RNA
Source: RNAcentral
CCUACGGGAGGCAGCAGUGAGGAAUAUUGGUCAAUGGGCGCGAGCCUGAACCAGCCAAGUAGCGUGAAGGAUGACUGCCCUACGGGUUGUAAACUUCUUUUAUAAAGGAAUAAAGUGAGGCACGUGUGCCUUUUUGUAUGUACUUUAUGAAUAAGGAUCGGCUAACUCCGUGCCAGCAGCCGCGGUAAUACGGAGGAUCCGAGCGUUAUCCGGAAUGACUGGGCGUAAAGGGUGCGUAGGUGGUUUGACAAGUUGGUAGCGUAACUCCGGGGCUCAACCUUGGCAGUACUACCAAAACUGUCGGACUUGAGUGCAGGAGGAGCAAGUGGAAUGCCUAGUGUAGCGGUGGAAUGCGUAGAUAUUAGGAGGAACACCAGUGGCGAAGGCGAUUUGCUGGACUGUAACUGACACUGAGGCACGAAAGCGUGGGGAGCGAACAGGAUUAGAUACCCCAGUAGUC